UAAGAUGAGAGUUUGAUCCUGGCUCAGGACGAACGCUGGCGGCAUGCCUAAUACAUGCAAGUCGAACGAGCUUCCGUUGAAUGACGUGCUUGCACUGAUUUCAACAAUGAAGCGAGUGGCGAACUGGUGAGUAACACGUGGGUAACUUGCCCAGAAGCAGGGGAUAACACUUGGAAACAGGUGCUAAUACCGUAUAACAACAAAAACCGCAUGGUUUUU
Molecule: ribosomal RNA, 219 nt
Filed under: Lactobacillus sp. HBUAS51387
Lineage: Bacteria; Bacillati; Bacillota; Bacilli; Lactobacillales; Lactobacillaceae
Description: partial 16S ribosomal RNA
Rfam family: Bacterial small subunit ribosomal RNA
Source: RNAcentral